This 356-nucleotide long non-coding RNA is filed under the name Setaria italica (foxtail millet). RNAcentral's name for it is "long non-coding RNA (SITA_LNC003566)". The record is from RNAcentral. Lineage: Eukaryota; Viridiplantae; Streptophyta; Magnoliopsida; Poales; Poaceae.
GUUUCUUCCCCAGUCCUUGCGCCGCUCCAACCUUCUCUCUUCCACACAGCUAUAAAAGGGAAUGCCGGAGCCCCGCCGGAGUUCCCCUUCGCCAUCGCUGCCCUCCCGCUUUGCUCCCUGUUCGUGCUCACAGCGCCACCGCCUAAGUUUCUGAGGAACUCUCCUCUCCGCUCCACACCGCUCUCUCAAUCCGCCCAGCCUCUUGCUCCCCGUGCUGCACAAGAAGCACCGCUGCCGCCGGAGCACCACCGGACAUCAUCACCGCUGUCCAAGCCUUAGUCUUUCCGCCCAAGCCUGUUCUUUCCCGACCCCAAGCUUCAUCUGUAAGACGAAGGUAAGCUGCCGACCCUUUGUUC